CCUACGGGUGGCAGCAGUGAGGAAUAUUGGUCAAUGGGCGCAAGCCUGAACCAGCCAAGUCGCGUGAGGGAUGACGGUCCUAUGGAUUGUAAACCUCUUUUGUCGGGGAGCAAGGCCCGCCACGUGUGGCGGGAAGGAGAGUACCCGAAGAAAAAGCAUCGGCUAACUCCGUGCCAGCAGACGCGGUAAGACGGAGGAUGCGAGCGUUAUCCGGAUUUAUUGGGUUAAAGGGGUGCGCAGGCGGAAGGUUAAGUCAGCGGUAAAAUGUCGGUGCUCAACACCGGCCUGCCGUUGAAACUGGUCAUCUUGAGUGAGCGAGAAGAAUGCGGAAUGCGUGGUGUAGCAGUGAAAUGCAUAGAUAUCACGCGGAACACCGAUUGCGAAGGCGGCAUACCGGCGCUCAACUGACGCUGAGGCACGAAAGCGUGGGGAUCGAACAGGAUUAGAUACCCCAGUAGUC
RNAcentral lists this ribosomal RNA (460 nucleotides) under uncultured bacterium. Its description in RNAcentral is "partial 16S ribosomal RNA". It matches the Rfam family "Bacterial small subunit ribosomal RNA", at positions 338 to 795 of the family's 1533-position model. The record is from RNAcentral.